UUGACAGCGAUACAACCCCCUCAGGCUCCAUUCAAAAUGUGGGUGUUUGAUGGAGAGUUGCGGUCAGUGACAGUUUGGAUAGAGUUUGAGAUAGUUUGGAGAGAGUUUGGAGAUUUAGGAGAGUGAGGAGAGAGAGUCAGGAGAGAAUGGAGCCAGCUAAGAAGAGGAGGAUGUCCCCUGUGUGGGAACAUUUUGAUCUCAUUCCUCCCAACAAGGAGAAAAAUCUCAAAUAGAUGACCUGGUUACCAAGGUGAUUGAGGACACCCAGCCAUUUAGUAUUGUGGAGGACAAAGGAUUUAAAAGAUUUGUUAAAUCGUUAAAUCCUAGCUAUGUUCUCCCCACUAAGGCCCUGAAAGCCAUGGUGGAGGCCAGGUACCAGGAGAUGAAGGAGAAAGCUAAGGCCAGCAUUGAGAAGGCAGCAGCUGUGAGUCUGACAUCAGAUAUGUGGACCUCUAUCAACACAGAGGCCUAUCUCGCUGUCACCUGCCAUUUUGUUGAGUCCAGCACAUUAAAUACAGUUGUUUUGGGAGUGCAACAUUUUCCCAAGGCGCACACUGCAGAAAAUAUUGCACAAGUGAAAGGCUCACUCAUGAGGGAAUGGGCUAUUACUGAAAAAGUUACAUGCAUUGUAACAGAUGGGGCUGGCA
This is a long non-coding RNA of Monopterus albus (swamp eel), 647 nucleotides long. RefSeq lists it as uncharacterized. The transcript has 3 exons. Lineage: Eukaryota; Metazoa; Chordata; Actinopteri; Synbranchiformes; Synbranchidae. The record is from RefSeq and is a predicted model, not a curated record.